GAUGAACGCUGGCGGCGUGCCUAAUACAUGCAAGUCGAGCGAACGGACGAGAAGCUUGCUUCUCUGAUGUUAGCGGCGGACGGGUGAGUAACACGUGGAUAACCUACCUAUAAGACUGGGAUAACUUCGGGAAACCGGAGCUAAUACCGGAUAAUAUUUUGAACCGCAUGGUUCAAAAGUGAAAGACGGUCUUGCUGUCACUUAUAGAUGGAUCCGCGCUGCAUUAGCUAGUUGGUAAGGUAACGGCUUACCAAGGCAACGAUGCAUAGCCGACCUGAGAGGGUGAUCGGCCACACUGGAACUGAGACACGGUCCAGACUCCUACGGGAGGCAGCAGUAGGGAAUCUUCCGCAAUGGGCGAAAGCCUGACGGAGCAACGCCGCGUGAGUGAUGAAGGUCUUCGGAUCGUAAAACUCUGUUAUUAGGGAAGAACAUAUGUGUAAGUAACUGUGCACAUCUUGACGGUACCUAAUCAGAAAGCCACGGCUAACUACGUGCCAGCAGCCGCGGUAAUACGUAGGUGGCAAGCGUUAUCCGGAAUUAUUGGGCGUAAAGCGCGCGUAGGCGGUUUUUUAAGUCUGAUGUGAAAGCCCACGGCUCAACCGUGGAGGGUCAUUGGAAACUGGAAAACUUGAGUGCAGAAGAGGAAAGUGGAAUUCCAUGUGUAGCGGUGAAAUGCGCAGAGAUAUGGAGGAACACCAGUGGCGAAGGCGACUUUCUGGUCUGUAACUGACGCUGAUGUGCGAAAGCGUGGGGAUCAAACAGGAUUAGGUACCCUGGUAGUCCACGCCGUAAACGAUGAGUGCUAAGUGUUAGGGGGUUUCCGCCCCUUAGUGCUGCAGCUAACGCAUUAAGCACUCCGCCUGGGGAGUACGACCGCAAGGUUGAAACUCAAAGGAAUUGACGGGGACCCGCACAAGCGGUGGAGCAUGUGGUUUAAUUCGAAGCAACGCGAAGAACCUUACCAAAUCUUUGACAUCCUUUGACAACUCUAGAGAUAGAGCCUUCCCCUUCGGGGGGGCAAAGUGACAGGUGGUGCAUGGUUGUCGUCAGCUCGUGUCGUGAGAUGUUGAGUUAAGUCCCGCAACGAGCGCAACCCUUAAGCUUAGUUGCCAUCAUUAAGUUGGGCACUCUAAGUUGACUGCCGGUGACAAACCGGAGGAAGGUGGGGAUGACGUCAAAUCAUCAUGCCCCUUAUGAUUUGGGCUACACACGUGCUACAAUGGACAAUGCAAAGGGCAGCGAAACCGCGAGGUCAAGCAAAUCCCAUAAAGUUGUUCUCAGUUCGGAUUGUAGUCUGCAACUCGACUACAUGAAGCUGGAAUCGCUAGUAAUCGUAGAUCAGCAUGCUACGGUGAAUACGUUCCCGGGUCU
Molecule: ribosomal RNA, 1374 nt
Filed under: uncultured bacterium
Lineage: Bacteria
Description: bacterial SSU rRNA
Rfam family: Bacterial small subunit ribosomal RNA
Source: RNAcentral